RNAcentral lists this ribosomal RNA (254 nucleotides) under uncultured prokaryote. Its description in RNAcentral is "partial 16S ribosomal RNA". It matches the Rfam family "Bacterial small subunit ribosomal RNA", at positions 524 to 776 of the family's 1533-position model. The record is from RNAcentral.
AACGUAGGUGGCGAGCGUUAUCCGGAUUUACUGGGCGUAAAGCGUGUGCAGGUGGAUGACUAAGUGGUGUAUGAAAUCGCCCGGCUCAACCGGGCGGGGUUAUGCCAGACUGGUCGUCUAGAGGGUGGGAGAGGGAGGUGGAAUUCCGGGUGUAGUGGUGAAAUGCGUUGAUAUCGUUUGGAACACCAAUAGCGUAGGCAGGCUUCUGGGUGCCACCUGACACUGCUAGGACGAGAGCGUGGGGAGCGAUAAGG